RNAcentral lists this ribosomal RNA (444 nucleotides) under Enterococcus sp. Its description in RNAcentral is "bacterial SSU rRNA". It matches the Rfam family "Bacterial small subunit ribosomal RNA", at positions 262 to 698 of the family's 1533-position model. Lineage: Bacteria; Bacillati; Bacillota; Bacilli; Lactobacillales; Enterococcaceae. The record is from RNAcentral.
GGCUCACCAAGGCCACGAUGCAUAGCCGACCUGAGCCAUGAUCAAACUCUACUGGGACUGAGACACGGCCCAGACUCCUACGGGAGGCAGCAGUAGGGAAUCUUCGGCAAUGGACGAAAGUCUGACCGAGCAACGCCGCGUGAGUGAAGAAGGUUUUCGGAUCGUAAAACUCUGUUGUUAGAGAAGAACAAGGACGUUAGUAACUGAACGUCCCCUGACGGUAUCUAACCAGAAAGCCACGGCUAACUACGUGCCAGCAGCCGCGGUAAUACGUAGGUGGCAAGCGUUGUCCGGAUUUAUUGGGCGUAAAGCGAGCGCAGGCGGUUUCUUAAGUCUGAUGUGAAAGCCCCCGGCUCAACCGGGGAGGGUCAUUGGAAACUGGGAGACUUGAGUGCAGAAGAGGAGAGUGGAAUUCCAUGUGUAGCGGUGAAAUGCGUAGAUAUA